UGAAUACGAAAACUAUAAAUGGCAAUACUCAGUAUGCCAUGGCUGCCUAAUCAGUGAUUAAGUAGUCAUUAGGGCCGCCGGGCCGGUUCGCUUGUUUCCAUGCCCCGCCGCCGACUCAAAACAAAACAAGAUGCAGCGGGUUCAGGCUGUGCCACCCGAUCAAGUAAUAUUCAGCUAAGGAGGUAAUCGGUUGCCCGUUUCCAGUUGCUUCCCGACAAUACAAAACAGGAUAAACAUGUAGAAAGCUUUUGAAGAAUAUGUUUGGACAGGAGUUCGAUUCUCCUCGCCUCCACUU
Molecule: transfer-messenger RNA, 295 nt
Filed under: Chitinophagaceae bacterium
Lineage: Bacteria; Pseudomonadati; Bacteroidota; Chitinophagia; Chitinophagales; Chitinophagaceae
Description: partial transfer-messenger RNA
Rfam family: transfer-messenger RNA
About the family: Bacterial tmRNA, also known as 10Sa RNA or SsrA, is named for its dual tRNA and mRNA-like properties.
Source: RNAcentral